GAGAACCGGCAGUACCUGUCAAGAACUUAACAACAGCAGUCUUCAGCAGAAGUUCCAGUCAUACUUACCGUGGAUUAAACUUUGAAGUGAUUUAGUGACAUAUGGAUCUUAUCAUUUGCAUCACGGUCAUGUGUUACGCAAAUAUGGAAUAAUUCUAUCAAGUUACCAUUGGACCCGGACCUGCCAAAGGGGAACCCGCUUACCUAUCUCCUAAAUCACACUAAAAACAAGAUGUGUUUGUAUACUUUCGGAUUCAUUUCAUUGGCCUCCGGAUGAUGCAGCCCAAGUACUCACUUCCUAUCCUUAUGGUUCACGUCAAGUGUUUGUUUGUCAUUCAGAAGUUUAUUUUUGUGGUUCGAUGAUAUACAUUACAAUUAAAUUCAUUGUAACUUA
Macrobrachium nipponense is the source of this 393-nucleotide long non-coding RNA. RefSeq lists it as uncharacterized. Lineage: Eukaryota; Metazoa; Arthropoda; Malacostraca; Decapoda; Palaemonidae. The record is from RefSeq and is a predicted model, not a curated record. The transcript is spliced from 2 exons.